Molecule: unclassified non-coding RNA, 347 nt
Filed under: soil metagenome
Description: partial contains 5.8S ribosomal RNA, internal transcribed spacer 2, and large subunit ribosomal RNA
Rfam family: 5.8S ribosomal RNA (bases 1-120)
Source: RNAcentral
GAUGAAGAACGUAGCGAAAUGCGAUAAGUAAUGUGAAUUGCAGAAUUCAGUGAAUCAUCGAGUCUUUGAAUGCACAUUGCGCCCCCUGGUAUUCCGGGGGGCAUGCCUGUCCGAGCGUCAUUGCUGCCCUCAAGCACGGCUUGUGUGUUGGGCCGUCGUCCCCCUCCUAGGGGACGGGCCCGAAAGGCAGCGGCGGCACCGCGUCCGGUCCUCGAGCGUAUGGGGCUUCGUCACCCGCUCCGUAGGCCCGGCCGGCGCUUGCCGACGACCAUCAAUCUCUUUCUCCAGGUUGACCUCGGAUCAGGUAGGGAUACCCGCUGAACUUAAGCAUAUCAAUAAGCGGAGGA